GGUCCCAUCGUCUAGUGGCCCAGGACACAGCCCUUUCAAGGCUGCGACACGGGUUCGAAUCCCGUUGGGACCGCCA
This 76-nucleotide transfer RNA is filed under the name Synergistaceae bacterium. Its description in RNAcentral is "tRNA-Glu". It matches the Rfam family "tRNA". Rfam says of the family: Transfer RNA (tRNA) molecules are approximately 80 nucleotides in length. Lineage: Bacteria; Thermotogati; Synergistota; Synergistia; Synergistales; Synergistaceae. RNAcentral also lists the same sequence under 3 other names. The record is from RNAcentral.